CCCCUUUUUAAGAAUAUCGUACAUAGCCCUUGUUGCUUUAUCAGCCUGUGCCUUUUUUGCUUUUGUGAAACUUCCUGUUCUAGAAAACAAUACACCAAGAUAUGUAAAUUCUUCAACAAUAUCUAACUCAAUAUCAGCAUAUUUAAAACUAACAUUUUGUAGUGGUCUACCUUUAGAAAAAAUUACUAUUUUGCUUUUAGGGACAUUGACUUUUAAUUUCCAUGUAUCACAAUAUUCUUUUAAAGCGUCUAAUUGUUUUUGUAGAUCUGCUUGUGUUUCUGACAUAAGUACAGUGUCGUCUGCGUACAAUACAACAAACAGUUUUAAAUACAUACUUAGUUCGUUCUCUAUUUGAUCUGAUAAAGAUUUCAAACCAUUUACAUUUUUGUUCUGAAAAAAGCUUUCUAAAUCAUUUAAAUAAAUAGAAAAAAGUAUGGGAGAUAAAUUUUCUCCCUGUCUUACACCUACAUUACAUGGAAAGUAGUCUGAAUAUUCCCCAUCACUAAAAAUUCGUGAUUUCACAUUUUUAUACAUAUUAAAUAUAGUGUUAU
RNAcentral lists this long non-coding RNA (551 nucleotides) under Mytilus galloprovincialis (Mediterranean mussel). The record is from RNAcentral. Lineage: Eukaryota; Metazoa; Mollusca; Bivalvia; Mytilida; Mytilidae.